This 8135-nucleotide long non-coding RNA is filed under the name Coffea arabica (coffee). RNAcentral's name for it is "long non-coding RNA (CARA_LNC002763)". The record is from RNAcentral. Lineage: Eukaryota; Viridiplantae; Streptophyta; Magnoliopsida; Gentianales; Rubiaceae.
AAGACUGGCAAUGUAAGUUAAAUUUUCGCCAGACGACGGGUAGUAGGAGCCUUGAGCUAAGUCGCAGCCUGAGGUGCAGCUUCCAUGGACUUGUGAAGUUUGGACUGAGAAUAGGAUUGCGGUCCUAAGAAGCAGUAAUCGCGGAAUUAGUGUUCUUGAUUUGGAUGAGAAGAACAUGAUCGGAUUGAGACUUCUUUGCUGGUAGAAGAAGUUGGGACUAAGGGGGAAGAGAAGUAAGGGUGAGAAAUUUUGUGGGGCGUUGUCCAUUCUUUGUUUAGCAUUUCAAAUUAAUAAUAAUGUUUUCUUUUUUCUCUUCUAGAGAUAAUUUUGAAAAUAGUUCUCAAUCUUUGUUAUCCAAUCGAGUUGGAGAGGAAAAUUAAAUUUGAAGACGACAAUUGCACAAUAUAAUUAAUAGCAGUUUAUGCGCAUUUAAUAGAAAUUGGGAUGAACUUGAUUUAUUGUGUGAUGCUAUAAUUUUUUAGAUGACUUGGGCACCCUGUGUUGACAAAAAAAAAAAAAAAAAUCCUCCUAUGUUUAUCCACUUAGUGGAUCAUUAUUGUCCAUAUAUUUCUUUCAGUUCCUUGUUUGAAUGUUGGAGAUUUCAUUUUUUUUGUAACUUUAGAGAGUAGCAAUUUUGAUCUCCAAUAUUUAAAGGAUAGACUAAAAUGAUCCUUUAUGUUAUGCAAAAAUAAAUUUAGCUCCAUAUGUCUAAAAAAUGAAACAAUUUGACCUCAUAUUGGUUUGGACAAAAACUAACUCAUAAUCUUAAUAACUAAUCUAAUUUUUUACUACAAAAUGAAAGAGAAUAGAGGUUGGUGAUGUGGUGGUGGUUCACUGAGUCAUAGAAACAGUCAUAUUAAAGACAAAGCAGAGGUCGAUGUUGGUAGACUGAGUCAUAGAUUUCUAAAUGUCUUUUGCCUCAUAAAUUGCCCCACGUGCUAAGGAUAAACAAAAACUUGAAAAGUUAUAUGUUAGGUUAACCUCCGUUCUUGACAACUGAAUAAUGAUAAUAAUAAAAUAAAUAAAUUAAAUAGAAAAAUAUAAGAAUUUAUGUGGUUCGAUCGAAUUGACUUAUGUCCACGGAUGAAAGGAUAGUAGAUUUAUUAUAACAAAAAUAGAGUACACAAGAGAGAAUACAAAAUCUUAAGAAAUAAUUUCUAAGCUCAAGAGUGUUGGGAUAUGCAACUUUUCCUACAUAUUUUGCUAGAUUAUGUUUAAUAUCAAAAUAGUUUAGUUAUUAGAAAAAUAAGGAUAUUUGUUAACAAAAGAUCAUGUUGGUUUGUUAAUAGAUAUUUUAGAUAAGAUUUGCUAGUAGAAGGAGAUUAUAUUUUGUUGAAAUUUCUAGGAUAAUUGUUAGUGGGAUAUUUUGCUAGUUUGUUUCAUGUAAUCACUAUAAAUAGUGAGUUGAUGAAUGUAGAACAAUAAGCUCAUUUUCCACCUUCAAUACAAGUCUCUUAUAAGCUUUUUUUGCAACACUAAGGUGUUGUUUCUUAGUUCAUGCCCCAAAAAACCAACAAAGUGGUAUCAAGAGCCUAUAUCUUAAGGGCCUGAGUUUUUUUUUAGAGUGAUGCAUUGGUGAGGAUCCAUUAUAAGUUCAAGCCAUGACAGGAAAGAACUUUUUGUCAAAUGUUUCAACUUUUAGUGGUGAAAUUUACCAAAUUUGGGCCAUAAAAUUUUGGACUUAUUUGGUAGUCAAUGAUCUACGAGAUAUGGUAGAGACGAAUUUUGUUUCAUCAGUAUUUGAAGAGCUGAUGGAUACACAAAUUAGAGACCACAGAGUUGCAGUUAAACAGAGAUCCAAUGCCAGCAUUCACAUAUCAGUUUUUAAUGCCGUUUUCACAAAGAUAAUGGCUGAUGAUUUGAUUGAGAAUAAAUUAUUCUCAAUUAAAAUAAAAAGGAGAAGUUUCACUAUGAAUUGGUUAGAUUUUGACAAUUCUAAAGUGGAACAUGAUGAUGAAAUCAAGAAUUCAGAUCCUGAAAAAAUUCAGGAGGAGAUCAUUGAUAAGUCAAGAGAUAUCAAAUUGAUUCCUGAUAUUUAUCAAGAUUAUAACAUUUCUGUUUUUGAGUUUACAGAUUUUGAUGGUGAUGACAAAAUGAAGAACCAUGCAGAAUUUCAUAUUUUCUGUAUAGGUUCAAAUAUCGUCAAAAGAUGUUCCAUUUUAAACCUAUGAGAAGGUUAUUUGGAAACAUUAAAAAAAAAUCAUCUUUUAUGUGGAGUUUGGCAUGAGAAGACAAAAGAAAUGGUUCUUUGCAAGACUAAUAUUUAGCUUGCAUAAAAACCUAAAGGAAGAAGUUCAUUGCAAGGCUAAUCAUCAAUUGCAAAGCUUCUUACAAAAGUCUCAUCCAAAACAAGAUUCAAAAAUUUGAGAAGACAAUUCAAAAUCUACAGCAAAAGUGGCAAGGAGGAGUGUUGGGAUAUGCAACUUUUCCUACAUAUUUUGCUAGAUUAUGUUUAAUAUCAAAAUAGUUUAGUUAUUAGAAAAAUAAGGAUAUUUGUUAACAAAAGAUCAUGUUGGUUUGUUAACAGAUAUAUUAGAUAAGAUUUGCUAGUAGAAGGAGAUUAUAUUUUGUUGAGAUUUCUAGGAUAAUUGUUAGUGGGAUAUUUUGCUAGUUUGUUUCAUGUAAUCACUAUAAAUAGUGAGUUGAUGAAUGUAGAACAAUAAGCUCAUUUUCCACCUUCAAUACAAGUCUCUUAUAAGAUUUUUUUGCAACACUAAAGUGUUGUUUCUUAGUUCAUGCCCCAAAAAACCAACAAAGAGGCACCUAAAACUGAAAAUUAUCCAAUUGGCCCUUUAACUCUUUGUCUAGAUAAAAUUAAGCCCCUCAUCUAUUUUUUGCUGACUUUAAGCCCUCGAACUUGUAAAAUGAGAAAUCCGUGGCCCUUUUAGCCAGUUUCUCCGAUUUUGCAACCGGAUGACCAAUUCACACGAACGUCAUGUGCUUCUUUCAAGGGCAUUUUUGUCCUCAUAUUCUAAGCAAAAAGGGCACACACAGUCCACAUUUCUAUUUGAUUUCCCUCACCUCCCUUACUCUUCCCUGCGCAACCCCCACGCAAUCCCAUGGCCGUCUCUGUCACAUUCUCGGGGAUUGCUUCCAAAUUUUGCACAUCUAACAAAACCUCCCAGUCCAAAUUCCUAGAUACAUCUGCACUCUCCUCCCGGGGCAUCACCGGCAUGUCAUCAUCAUCCAGAAACAUGCUCAGAACCUCUCUCUCAUCAACUCCUUCAUCCACUUCCUCCCACUCAAAAUCCUCAUUAACUUCUCUAUGAUCCUUAAUCUGAAAAGAAUCCCAACAGAGCCUAAGGCUUGGAUCAUCAUCACCCUCACUUAUAUCAUCAUCGUCAGCACUAAAAUCAAUCUCAACGUCAUGGUUUAUAUCAGAAUCCGAUUCCGACCCGAUAUCCACGACUCGCAACCCGGUUACAAAAUGGUCCCCACCCUCAAAAUUUUCAGCUACGAACCCUGAAUUUUCCACAUUUGCCGAAGUGGGCUCUCCGAGAAACCCUAGAUUCAGAUCAAGAUCCAAAUGGGUCGGCUCCAUUCCGUCGUUUCCUUCAUGAAUCCCGAAAUUCGGGUCAGCAUCGGAAAUCUCCGGGUCAAUCACCACACAGGUUGUGGAGGACAAUUGGGACUGCUCAACUCGUUGGUGCAGGAGGUCCAUAACGAAAUUCACCUGAUUCUCGCGGUCGAAAAGAUCAGCGCUGGUGACAACCGAUUCGGGCUCCGACACGAUGUCGCUGGGGGGAUCAACCAAUAGCAUCGAUAUCGGAAGACCAGUAGGGAUCGAGAUGAUGGCGGUGGGGAUGGGUUUGAUGAUGAGAAAAAUCUACUUCUUCAAUGACGUCGUCUAGGCCAUCAUCGUCCUGGUGGAGUCUGAGUAGUUGAAGCAACGUCGUCUCAGCCAUUCUGUUUCAGCGGGGUGGGGAGAGUAGGAGGAAUAAAAGUGAGAAAGGAAACACCUUUUUUUCGAAAAUUAUUUUUUAUCUAAAAAUUCCCAUCUUUUUGCGUUUUCUUUUGUUUGAUAUUCUACAGCAUGGGGCAAGGGGGGUAGGUGAUCAGCAAUUUCCCCUUUUAUUUUCUCUCUCUUUUUUGACUAAAAAUGAGCACUUUUCCAGCUUCCUUCGGUGGAUUAUGUGUGCCCUUUUUGCUUAGAAUAUGAGGACAAAAAUGCCCUUGAAAGAAGCACAUGGCGUUCGUGUGAAUUGGUCAUCCGGUUGCAAAACCGGAGAAACUGGCUAAAAGAGCCACGGAUUUCCCAUUUUACAAGUUCGAGGGCUUAAAAUCAGCAAAAAAUAGAUGAGGGGCUUAAUUUUACCUAGACAAAGAGUUAAAGGGCCAAUUGGAUAAUUUGCCCAAGAAUCAAAUAAUAUAAAAGAUUUAUAUAUGCCUUUAUUUUCCAACAUUUCUUAAGACAAUUUCAACCCCGUAACGAUAGCAUAAUCCCUGCAUUCUUGGGAGACUUCCUUAACACAGACAGGGAAUUAAGGAGCACCUUUCUUUCCUGUUAGCUGUCCUGAAUCCAAUUCAACAAUAAUGCACUCUUCUCGAUUGAUGGGAAGGGAAGAACACAUUUCUUUCCUGUUUGCUGUCCUCCUGAUCCCAAUUCAAAGCUGCAUUGCCAAGUGUCAUUGAACUUGAUUUGCGACCUAAACAGUUUGUCGUGUCCCUGCCCUGCAUCAUCAAGCGAAAUUAAUCGCAUAAUUUCCCAACACCCCACCUCAAUUGUCAAGAUCAAGCACUUUCAUGAUGCCCCCUGUUAUUCAAAAUAUUGUGGAAAAAGGCACCCGCGGAAACGUGUUGUUAGUUCUUGUCUGGACCAAGAAUUUUGGACACUGUCAUCUGCCAGUGCUACCUAACCAUCGAUCCCAAAGUCCUUCCAUUCAUUGUCCAUCGUUGCUCAGAGAAUUGGAGCAAUAAGCAGCGACCCGCUAGGGAAUAGUUGCAGCAGUAAAAUGCUAAAUAGAACCGGUCAACAGCACUGGCCCUCUUGGAGGAUAUUUUAGCUUUAAAACCACUUUUUCAGAAAAUGUGAAUUCUCCUCUAUAUGUGAAAAACUAAAAGGUACUAGUCAAUUAGUGAUAACUAGAUUGGACUGCUGCAAAUGUUUAGGGUUUUCGUGAAAAAUUAUUAAUAUUAUAGCAAUGUGAUAUAUAUGGGAUAAAAAAUACUUUAAAAAAUUUUUUUUUUUUCACAAAAAAUGACAAUCAAAGUAGGCUUCACAAAAUUGCAACUAAGAUCAGAAAGGACAUCAAAUGAAAGAAUUUUUGUGCUCUGUGGCUUGCUUAAAAGCAAACAGUUUUGUUAAAGCGAUGUUGCCCUAGUUCUCUUGUUCAUCAUCAACACAAAGUCCACGUUUUGAGGGGGCAAAAAGAUAGUUCUAAUAACAUGCUUUGUUUUGUUGCUGUCAAAAAUACUCUAUAGGUAUGCAUUUUUCAUCAACAUGAUUAAUUGCAAGCGAUAGGAGUCGCAUGCCGGGUGAUUUGAUCCUCCAAAUAUGAGCCGGCAACUAGGAACUUCAAGUACCUGUGGUAGUCAACUCGCUCAAAUGUGAGUUGGUUGUCGAAUUACUAAUAAGUAAAAUAAGAUUAUCGAAAUAGUGUGUUUAGAUUGUCAAAUUAUUUCAAGUAAUAUUUCGCUUGCAUCAUAAACACAUUUCUCAAUUCGCAUUUUUAUAUUCCCAACUAUUUUUCAUCUCGUAUGCAUCACAUCAUGAAAAGUGCUACAGUAAUUAUUCCAAAUAAUAUUUCAAACAAUACUCUAUCCAAACACAUAUAAUUAUGUUUGAUUACUUCAAUAAUUAGUCAGCAAACUCAAAUCCAAAACCAAAACGAAUCCGCAAAAGAAUUGAGACUGAUUAUCUGCAGUGGCCACCCCUAACCUGAGGGCACGGCCUGCUUCUCACCUUCCUCUGUCUGCAAUUACCACUUGCAACACCCGCCAGUCAACAACGGGUACGUCCUUUUGUCCUAACCCACAGCUUGGUGAAACAAAGCAAGAAAAUAAUCAUCUACCCUGCACAUCUGAAAUUGUGACCUCGUUCACAGAACAAGAUUCUGGAUUUUGAGGUAACUUCGUCAUAAUUUCAGCAAAAGCUGGUCGCGUAGGAGUGGCAAGAGCCAUUGAUUCCUUGAGGAGCAUGGAUACCACGUCCGACAUUGUUGGUCUAUCUGCUGCAUUUUUUUGCACACACAAUAAACCAACGUGAACAUAUUUUAGUGCUUCACUUGUUGAGACCGUUUCAUCCAAACAAGAAUCUGUGAUUUCUGAAAUUCUUCCUUCUGUCCAUAGAUCCCAGACCUGGAACGUGACAAAUGAUCAUUCCCAAAUUACUGGACUGAAGGAAAUGACACAAGUACAACUGUGUUGUACAGGUUACUUACAUGUCCUAUUAAGUUCAGGUGACGAUCCGAAUCGUAGAACGAAGUGUUCUUCUUUCCAGUUAUGAUCUCAAGAAUCAUGACUCCAAAGCUAAAUACAUCGGACUUCUCGGAGUAAACCCCGUCCAUGGCAUAUUCAGGAGACAUAUAACCACUUUUUCUCUCGCAAAAAGUAAUCAUCUCAAUUAGCUUAAGCAUGAGAUUAGAGAUUGGACAUUACAGGUUGCAAAACAACAAAGAAGAAGAUAUUCCUUCAACUUACCAUGUCCCCACAAUGUUCAUUGUACUUCCGCGCAUUUCAUUCUCUCCAAAAAUUCUGGCGGUUCCAAAAUCUGAAAUUAUGGGAUUCAGGUCUGCGUCCAAUAAAACGUUGCUCGUUUUCAGAUCUCUGUGGAUGAUCUUUAAUCUAGAAUACUUGUGGAGGUACAAAAGCCCCUGAGCGACCCCUUCAAUGAUUUUCAACCUUCUUUUCCAAUCCAAUAUAUUCCGCUUUGCUGUAUCUGUAAGCAAGGCAGAUCCCAGUAUUUUGAUAGUUGUAAGCAUGUAACUUAGAUAAAUAAAUGAAGGUAAAUAGAGUUCUGACACAUACCAAAAAGUACUGAAUCUAGACUGUUAUUAGGCAAGUACUCGUAUACCAAUAAACGCUCUUCUUUGUCAAUGCAGGAGCCCAAAAGUCUAACAAGGUUUCGAUGUUGCAGCUUUGAGAUCACUUUGACUUCAUUCUUGAAUUGUUCAAUUCCAUGUCCUGACAUUCUAUUCAAUCUUUUAACUGCAAUCUCUAGUCCGUUAACCAGUUUACCCUGAACCAUGUAUUUACAUUAAAAUUAAGCAAAUAAAUAGGGUUUUUGGACUUAAAAGUUAAUCGUUUCAAGAAAUGUUUAAUUAGCUCACCUUGUAGACAGGACCAAAUCCUCCUUGACCAAGUUUGUUUUCCUCGGAAAAAUGAUCUGUGGCAAUUUCUAUGCUUGUAAAACUGAAGAACAGUGAUUCAUCAUCCCCUUUGUCAUCAAGAUCUGGCCUUUCUGGACCCAUGAAUUUUCGAAGGUUACCUUCUCUCUUCCGCAAUUUGCAACACCAGAAAAGUAAUGCAAGAGCUGCUAGAAAAGUCGCUACGGCAGCCCCAACAACCGAUAACUUCACCCACUGAUUGACGGCACCCCUGGCCUUGAAGUCUCGGCUGCCUUCAGCUAAGUCCGAAACAGCAAUAUGCGGGACGGAAACACCAUUUUCGGGAUAAGAAUUGAACCUCUUCAACCAAGCGGCACUGGUCAAAUUGGAAUAGGACCCUUUUGCGAUUGUAUCAAAAGUUGUUUGGGUUGACGACGUGACAUUGUAGCUGAAAACAUGGGCUAAAAAGUUGUUAUUGAUGCAGUCACAGGUAAAGGGUAUGUUAAUUCUGCCGGCAAAGACUUUAUCCCUGCCGGGAACUAUGCUGAUAUUGGCCCGGUUGCUGUCGGUUAUGCUUGCUGUUGGGAUGUUGAAAAGACUGGCAAUGUAAGUUAAAUUGUCGCCAGACGACGGGUAGUAGGAGCCUUGAGCUAAGUCGCAGCCUGAGGUGCAGCUUCCAUGGACUUGUGAAGUUUGGACUGAGAAUAGGAUUGCGGUCCUAAGAAGCAGUAAUCGCGGAAUUAGUGUUCUUGAUUUGGAUGAAAAGAACAUGAUCGGAUUGAGACUUCUUUGCUGGUAGAAGAAGUUGGGACUAAGGGGGAAGAGAAGUAAGGGUGAGAAAUUUUGUGGGGCGUUGUCCAUUCUUUGUUU